RNAcentral lists this long non-coding RNA (7886 nucleotides) under Triticum aestivum (bread wheat). RNAcentral describes it as "long non-coding RNA (TAES_LNC020008)". Lineage: Eukaryota; Viridiplantae; Streptophyta; Magnoliopsida; Poales; Poaceae. The record is from RNAcentral.
CGCUGUCCAAGCCGCUCUUGGCGUCAUCGGGGAUCCCGGUCGUGCAUUGAAUCCAUCGCAAAGGAUCUCGAGGCCUGCCACCCCGCCCGGCGCACCCAUCUAGAGGCACAUGCUCUCCACGGAUCCAUUGGAUCCCUUGCCGCCUCUCCUCCUCUGUGCUUCGCUGGAGAAGCCUUGGCCUUGCCCUGGAUGCUAGAUUCUGCGAUUCCUCACCUGCAAUAUGGAUUAUGGAAGUGCAUCUGCACCUGGGGCGCUAGCUGCUGAUGGCCAGAGAUAACCGCGAUGUGUACAGGUGAGAGAAUUUUCCUCACUAGGUAGCAAUCUACUUUGAUUCUUUACCAUCAAGCAUCUCUUCAUAAUCAAUUAUGCUCAGUUUUUGACAGUCACACGACAACCCCUAGCAAGCCUUUCGUGGAAACAUCGAGUAUUGUUUAAGAUUUGUUGUCCACGGGAAACUAAUUAAUGUAUUUGGUGGAUGUACAGGGCUACGUAGUGGUUGCAGUCUUGUAUUAACAAGUGAACAAUUUAGUGUUCAUUGGCAACAAAAAGAAGUGAAUAAUACCAUGCUAUAUUUAGUGUUGCUUCCUGGUCCUUGGUAGAUGAUGCAUUCUUCUUCUGCAUUGAAAUUUGGAAAUUGAAUCUGCAUAGUAUUUGUCCGUAUUUCUCCAAGAUCUGAGCAUACCAUCUUAGGAACUUCUGAAACUUCCUGGUGGGACAUAAGUUCAGGAGUGUAAUUUAUCUCAAGUGCGUACUGAACCUUAAUAACAAGGGGAUUCUGUUAUUUCUUUCUCAAUUUACUUGCAUCUUCAGAAAUCUGGUGUAUAGAGCAGCAUUGUUCAGUCUUCAUGGUUAUAUUAUUCUGAAGUUUCAAGGAACAAAAAUGAUGUAUAUUUGAAGACGUACGGGUUGGGAACAGAAAUAAUGUGAUUUCGUGGAACAACAUUAAAUAGGCAGGAGGACAAUGGAUAUUUUUGGGUCAGUAUUUUCCAAUUAGAUACAUAUUUCAACUUGCAAUUAGGAGGUUCUGAACCUCUCUUUUCUUGAUGGAGAGCAUGCAAUGAAAAAACCACCACCACUGGUUUGUCACAGCCAGAGGUAAGUGCAUGGUUGUUCGGGUGAUAGCCUUAUAACUGUCACAGUUAAUUGAUGGUCUACAUCCAUGGUAUGGCUGCGUAACGUUUAUGAUUUGUCUCAUAUUAGUCAUUCACCAUGUUCCUCUUACCAUCGCCUUGACUGGAACGAAGGUGCUUACCAUGGUUGAACAUUUAUUUAGCAAUCUAUUGCCGCUCGAUAUUGGCAUGUUCCUUCCGCCACGGAGCAUGAUUUGCAAAGAAUGGUGGAGUUGCUUGGUUGUUUCUAUGAAUUGGUGGAGGAUGUAGAGGCUCAUAUUCAUUCCGUGUCCAGGUCCGUACCUUGCAUCAAAUUCCAGCCCUUACGGCCACUCGGAGCGCUUUUCACUGUACAAACAGCAUGCAGAGAAGCUAAUGGAGUCUUGUUCAGGUUAUCACCGCUUUUGCUCCAGCAAGGUAUCCUUCUCCCUCUUUAUUGACCUUUACGUUUGCCUGAUUAGUGAAACAUGAGUCACGUGAUUCCAGUUACGCAUGUAUAACAUAGGCUUUUUUGUUGGCUCGUAUUAACAUGGGAACUGAGUAAAUUUCUCCAAAUGUAUUGGUUCGUAUUAACCUGGGAACUGAGUAAAUUUCUCCAAAUGUAUUCUUUUGGUUGCUUUGGGUAAAAUGCUUGGUAUUUUGUAUUUUGUGUUCAUAUUAACACUUCUGCAAGUCAUCACAUGCCUUUAAUAUUUUAGAAAGUACGACGAGUCUUGCGAAGGGUCCUCGAGGAAGCUCAAUAUAUAGAUGACUAUUCUCAGUGGAGAUGAUACCAGAGAUGUUAUUCUGAAGUAAGCUCCUGCACACCAUUCUUUUCUAGUUCCUUUAGAAGAAAUGAUUCCAUUCUUGUACUCGAUACUGUAGAGUGGUUGCUGCUCAUUCGUCUUAAUUUAAUAUAAUACCAGCGUGUGAUCCUUGGACAAAAAUAAGGAAGGUGAGCUCCUAAAAAAAGAAGGAGAGAAUAACCUUUCAAAGAUAUUACGUGGGCUGAAAUAAGGAAGGAGAGUUCCUUUAAAAAAAUGAGAUAAUAAUAUGUUGCGAAGGAAUUAUAAUACAAGGGCAUGAUGAAUAUACAUAAAUAAGGAAGGAGAGUUUGACAAGAAAGAAAUGCCUUUAAGAUUUGAAAAUUAGGGGGUCCUUUAGGGUCAGAAUUAUCGUACAAAAAUUGUAUCAAAAGUAUUGUAUGUGUAACUAACUAGGCGAAGGAAUUAUAAUUCGUUAUUUCUAAUGUACUAGAGAUGGUCUAACAGAACCCUUUUAGCGAGAUUUUUUCCAUGACAACUUACAAACAAUGCCUUUAAGAUUUGAAAAUUAGGGGGCUUUUUAAGAUCAGAAUCAUACGUACAAAAAUCUUAUCAAAAGCAUUGUACCUGUAGCAUGCUUCUUAAUGUAGAACUGGGAAAAGAUUUCCUCGCUUGCAAGCGUUGCAACGCUCUACAAUGCCUUUAAGAUUUGAAAAUUAGGGGGCCUUUUAAGAUCAGAAUCGUACGUACAAAAAUCUUAUCAAAAGCAUUGUACCUGUAGCAUGCUUCUUAAUGUAGAAUUGGGAAAAGAUUUCCUCGCUUGCAAGUGUUGCAACGCUCUGUAGCGUAUCUGGGGACGAAGCCACGUAAAUCUUUCCUCACCCUAAUUAAUUUCUUUCCCCUGAUGAAUUCAAGGGUGGACCCACACUAACUAAUCACCCCUCUAAUUCAACUGUGGGGCCCACACUAACUAAUUUCACCCACCUGAAUUCGCGUGAAUUAGGCUCGCCCGUUGCGCGCCUUCCUGCCGUUGCCGGGUGGCAUCAUUCGGAUGUUGUUGGGCCUUUCUAUGGAUACACCAUUAUAUUUCCCGUUGCAACGCACGGGCAUAUGUGCUAGUCUCUCCCUAAUAAUAAAGCACGGAUUGAGUCUCCGGGUUCACCGUCAGAAUACGCUUUCUUGCUGUGAAUUUACGCUUUUAGGUCUUUUGUUUGGAACAGAAAAAGGAAAAAAUGCAGAAAACUGCGUACGACAGGAUUUGAACCAGGGUUGCUUGGAGAUAGCCUAGCGCCCAUAGCCAAUUCAGCUAGCUUGCUUGUCACGUUAAUUAACUGAAACUUAGUUUAAUCUCUCCAACACAUGGGCCGAGCUGGUCCACUCCAAGGACGCAGCCAACCAAACAGGCCUAUUUGUUGCCAGCUAAUUAGUCCCACCUCGCCUUUUUCAAUUUAAUUCCACCGAUUUAUAUAGGACUAUUAGUUGUAUGACAAUCAACAAGGAGCCUCGAGGAUUAACUAGCGAAGGAUGAGAUGUGGGUUGGCGUUGUGGCUGCACGAUACACGAAAAUAGAGGGGCAUGAGAAAAAUAAAAGAAGAAAGGAGUUGAUGCGGCUAAUUGCACGAGAAGGAAGGGGUUUCUUGAAUUAAGAAGAAUGAGAAAGGAAAUAUAUAUAUGCUAAUUGCAUAUAAAAGAAGGAAGGAGUUUCUCCUGAGAAAGAGAAUUAAUAAUAGACAGAGAGAUUUAGAUUUGCUAGCUUAAAAACACUAAUUACAUGAGUGUUCGGUCUACAAUUUUAUUGUGCCUCCAGCUAUUUCAUCGGCUACGACACAUACAUUCAGUCUUUAUAGCCCAACGGGGCCAUAGUUGCCUAUCGCACGUCCUGAUCUGAUGCGGCCGGGGUGCAUCUUUUCAAUCUCAUUAACGUAAAAAGGUAACAAUUUUGAUGGUGUACUUUCUGUUACCUUUGUACCCAUAUAUAAUUGCAAUGCCCAUGUGACUAAAGUUCAGUAGUGCCCCAAUGGCAUUCAUGACCUCUCGACAAGGAGACUAAAUGGCGGUGGGUCGAGUCUCUUCCGUCGCUCGACUGGACAUACAAAGUGUCCCGGAUACACGCAGACAGAAAAAAAAAUAGACUAGAGUUUUUACAAAACUUGGCUAAAACAUGAGCCACAACAUUACAAUGCUGACGAACAUGCUUGAAAGUCGAAGAAGCCAAGACGAGGGCACAACGAAAAAAACUUUAGAACUCAUAAAUAGUCCCACCUCGCUCCUUUUCAACCAAUUCAAUCAAUUUAUAUACGUGAGUGACUUUGCCGCAUCAGAAAUCAACUAGCCUCUGAGGGAAAAAGAAUGAAGGAAUUAAUCCGCAAGAGAGGGAAGAGCGAGUAUGUUCGAAGGAAGAAUCAGAUAAGUGCACAAUCGAGCAGCCAACAUCCACGCGUGUGUGGCCCAAACCAAAUAUGGAAAAUCAGAUAAGGACAAUUGGCAGCCGCCGGCGACGGCCUGGGAAAUCAACCCAGGAGAGGGAACGGAAUGGAAUUAGAAGGAUGAAGAAAAUGGAACGGAAUGAAGCCAGCGUGAUCACACCGCAAAGCCUCGCGAGCUAGGGCCAAGCGAAAUUGAGACGACAAGGUCGAGCGUCAGAGGAGAGGGGCACCGACGGACACCGCUGCCACCCCGGCGCUUCACUCGACGGACCGGGGAUUGGAAAGGAGGGGGGUGCAUACCACCGGCCCCAGCGUCUUCUCCUGGCCCAGGCCGAAGGCGGACACGACAAGGCCGGGCACUCCAGGAGUGCACCGUCGACGCCGAGGAGGUGUGACCGCGCGCGUGCUCAAUCCUGUUUUCUUGGUUAGUUGUGGAAGAGGGAAGAGAAAGAGGAGGGGGUACACGGCACCGUGGGUGGGAACCUUGGGCCGAGCAGAGGAUGAACAGCGCUGCUGGGUGGGAUGUUGGGUGCUGGCCUACUCGGUGAUGAGGAGCAGCAUUGCGUGGAUAAAAGAGGGCCACACACGAGGAUAACUCGACGGGGAUAUUGGUAUGUGUUCUUUGUGGGGAUAAUUAUCUUCUUUUUUCUUUUUUUUUCAUAAUAAUACGCGUCUCAUUUAUAUAGAACAAGUUACAAGGCACAUAAGCGCCGACCAUACAUAAUUGAAAAGAUAGGAAAAUCCUAUGCAGAAUACCAACGCCUGUCCCUUUCCUUCGACACCACCGAAGCGGCCACCAAAGGAUAAAAAGACAUAUCACCUCUUCACCCAAGCUCGAUGCGGCUCCAUCACUAAUCAGCAGCUUUACGGACCUCCAAAGUAGUUUGUUCGAAGCAAAACCAUAGAUGUUGAAAGAAUCAGACCGGGGCAACAUGUCCCCGGACACGCCAUCGAACUUCAGAACUGACACCCCCACAUGACGACGAAGUCAGAGGAGGAAACCAGAACUGUCAGCCGUCAACCACAGACCCAACACAAGAUACUCCAUCUUCCAGCUGUCACUUGCAUAGACAACUGCCUGCGCGUACUCCUAAACGACAAAACCUCCCUACUCUACCAUGAUGUCGGAGGCAACAACGCAACAAUGAAGACAGAGAUGAAGGAGAGACACACCUAAUAGAGUCGCCGCCGCUGCCUUGCCAACACCAUCCAUGAACCCUAACGCUGCCGAUCUGAGGGAUUGACAAAGACACGAUGCCAUCAACUCCGAGAAGCCGCCAUGAAAAACACCGCCGGUGUGGGAGUGAAGUUGAGGCAAAUUUAUUCAUCCAAGCACUGCUCCCACCACCCCAACGACGCCCCACGACCUAUAAAUCCAAAUCCUAACUACAGAGUGGAGGAACGGGUCCCCCUCCCUCCCGCCGCCGGAGCAGCGACCGAAGGGAGAGGGGGCCAGUGCCCCGGCCGGUGGAGAUCAAAGGAAAUAGGUCGCGUCUCCCUAGACGCUUGGUGGUGGUGGCGGCUAGGGUAGGAACGCCUCGACUAGACAGCGAUUGGCCGUGGGGAUAAUUAUAUGCUGUUGUUUGUUUGCUAAAACGUAGAAGAAGCGUAUACGUGAUGGAUGGUGUACAUGGCCUUCACAUGAAAUUUAUCAAAAAAGUUUGCCUUUUUAUGGUGAUGAUGCAGAGUGAGUGUGGUUCGGUCUUUGGGCCAAGUUUCAAGUAGUGCAAAAGAAAAGGAACACAAUAUAAUUUUGCAAACCAAGCAACCAACAUUUUCCUUAAAAAAAUGUCAACAUAGUAAAAGCCAGUUUGCUUUUAAAUAUUAACAAAAAAAUGUAUACAAACAAUCCCACUUCAAUGCACCACUACUCUUUCAUCCAAAAUAAAUUUGUUUGCAUUGAAACCUUUUGAAAAGUCUAGGAAAAACAUUUAGAUUAGUUAUUAAACUCUCGAACAGUAUACAACAAUUUCAACGUCUGUAUAUCCCGCUAAAAACACUUACGUUCUUCUGCCCGAUGAUAGUGCUAAGUUGAAGGAGGGGCCAUCAAAGGACACCCCGAUGAAUUUCUCAUCUUUACACUACAUGGUCUGGACACCAACAAAUUUUUUUAAUUGCGGACACCAAGUGUGUGUGUUUUUUUAGACAAAGAGUGUUCCAAAAUCUUCUUAUUUAGAAAGACAUGCUUUUAAAUAUGUUCAUGUUUUUUUAAAAAUGCAGAAAACUCUCGAAAAUGUUCCAAUUAUUUUAACAAAACCAUUUAAAAUCGACCGCAAAAUUUUCAAAUUUCAUAGUUAAAAAACAUGUGGUCAAAAAAAAUCAUCUUCAAAAGAUGUUUCAGUUCUAAUAAAAAGAUAAAAUUUUCAAUUUUUUAAUUAUUUUAUAGUAAAGAAAUAAUUGUGUUUUUUGAGAAAUAAAAAAUAGAACUGAUUACUAGACUAUCCCAUGCACCAUUAUUCUUUCAUUGAUGAAAGAUGUUAGGAUGGCUUAUUUACGUCCAUGCGUCAUACUCCGGAAAGAGAUAACAUUAUAAACUUAUAUCGAUGUUUAUCAGAACUGGAUCUAAGAAAUGGCGCUACUGUCACACAGAGCAUGUUUUAUGAAUUUUUAGCCCAUUGCAACGCACGGGCAUUUGUACGCUUCUUCCUCCCAAAAAAUUGGUACGUUUUCGUCCGUCAACCCAACCUUCGACCGGAUUCAAAAAAAUCGUCCGCCAGCUCUACCCUCGAUCCACAAAAGAAAUAAGUAUAUGUAUUUGGGCCACAUAGCCCGCCAGGCCUCUUCUGGGCCGUGCGUGCGAAAAAUAACUAUUGGGGAUCAAACUCAUGACCUCCUGUCCCGUGAAACACCACAACAACCAACUAAGCCAAGUUAUUUUGUUUGAAAUUAGUCCCACAUCGUUGCUUUAAAAAGAUUCGUACCAAUUUAUAUACAAGCAAGUCUCCUGCAUUAUCAGCAAGUCGCCUAAAAAGAGGGCCGUGGGACAAGAGGGAAGGAUGAAUUUGAGAGCUGAUUUGUGGGUAUUAAAGGAAAGAAAGAACACUUGUGUAUUAUUAAAUUAAAGGAAGGAAUUGUGGACGGAUUUGCAGGUGGUAUUAAAGGAAAUAAUUGAAGGCUACUUUGUGGGCUAUGAAAUCAGUAGUAUAAAGGAAGGAAGGAUGGAUUUCAGGAUUGUGGGACUGCAUGGAUAAUUAUGAUGAAUGCUUGUCUAUUAAAGGAAGGAAUUUGAGGCAGAUUUGUGGGCAUAGGAAAGAAUUUGAAGGCUAUCUGACAAGUGGGCUGGGUGAAGGAAGGAAGCAUUUCGGGGGAUUUGUGGGCUGGGUGGCUGACAAGUGGGCUAGGUGUGAAAUAAAUGAACCAAAAAAUAGAGUCCAUGCAACUUUUUUUAUUUCGCUGGCAAUCAUGUAAAGUAGAAAGAUUUUUACGAGGUGAUCUUUUAGAAUUCAGUCACCAUCGAGGGUGACUAACUGUUUAUAUUUAUUAAGUUUAAUUAGACAGUAACUACACAUGUGUGUAUAUAGAGUAUAAAUAAUCAUGUUAUGUACCAGUACCGUUUAGACCUUAGUUAUGCGGUACAAGUGCAGGACAUGCACAUUGCAAGAUCAAAG